UACGAAGGGGGCUAGCGUUGCUCGGAAUUACUGGGCGUAAAGCGCACGUAGGCGGAUUGUUAAGUCAGGGGUGAAAUCCUGGAGCUCAACUCCAGAACUGCCUUUGAUACUGAAGAUCUUGAGUGCGGGAGAGGUGAGUGGAACUGCGAGUGUAGAGGUGAAAUUCGUAGAUAUUCGCAAGAACACCAGUGGCGAAGGCGGCUCACUGGCCCGAUACUGACGCUG
RNAcentral lists this ribosomal RNA (225 nucleotides) under uncultured bacterium. Its description in RNAcentral is "partial 16S ribosomal RNA". It matches the Rfam family "Bacterial small subunit ribosomal RNA", at positions 524 to 748 of the family's 1533-position model. The record is from RNAcentral.